CCUACGGGAGGCAGCAGUCGGGAAUAUUGCACAAUGGAGGAAACUCUGAUGCAGUGACGCCGCGUGCAGGAAGAAGGUUUUCGGAUUGUAAACUGCUUUAGAUAGGGAAGAUAAAAGACUGUACCUAUAGAAUAAGCUCCGGCUAACUACGUGCCAGCAGCCGCGGUAAUACGUAGGAUGCGAGCGUUAUCCGGAUUUAUUGGGUUUAAAGGGUGCGCAGGCGGUCUGUUAAGUCAGCGGUCAAAGCCCGGGGCUCAACCCCGGCCCGCCGUUGAAACUGGCAGUCUCGAGUUGGAGAGAAGUAU
RNAcentral lists this ribosomal RNA (305 nucleotides) under uncultured bacterium. RNAcentral's name for it is "bacterial SSU rRNA". It matches the Rfam family "Bacterial small subunit ribosomal RNA", at positions 338 to 660 of the family's 1533-position model. The record is from RNAcentral.